GUUCCUCUCUGAUCCCGGGUUCAGUUCGCUACCGGACGAACUGCCGUUAAAACUGAACCAAGACGAAAAGAGGAACCUCUGAAGUUCUGUCUGCGGACCGUGGAGGAGGCGGAGGUAACGGACAUGGAGGACAUGGAGGACAUGGAGACGUCGGCAGGUUUCAGUCAGCAGUGCAGCAGCUGUGACUCGCCCUCGGCCAGAUGCUGGUGUGUGGACUGCAACGAGGCUCUGUGCGAUGUGUGUGUGUCGGCACACCGUCGAGUCU
This is a long non-coding RNA of Trematomus bernacchii (emerald rockcod), 265 nucleotides long. RefSeq lists it as uncharacterized. The record is from RefSeq and is a predicted model, not a curated record. Lineage: Eukaryota; Metazoa; Chordata; Actinopteri; Perciformes; Nototheniidae. The transcript is spliced from 3 exons.